CCUACGGGAGGCAGCAAUGAGGAAUAUUGGUCAAUGGACGAGAGUCUGAACCAGCCAAGUAGCGUGAAGGAUGACUGCCCUAUGGGUUGUAAACUUCUUUUAUAUGGGAAUAAAAUGUUCCACGUGUGGGAUUUUGUAUGUACCAUAUGAAUAAGGAUCGGCUAAAUCCGUGCCAGCAGCCGCGGUAAUACGGAGGAUCCGAGAGUUAUCCGGAUUUAUUGGGUUUAAAGGGAGCGUAGGUGGAUUGUUAAGUCAGUUGUGAAAGUUUGCGGCUCAACCGUAAAAUUGCAGUUGAAACUGGCAGUCGUGAGUACAGUAGAGGUGGGCGGAAUUCGUGGUGUAGCGGUGAAAUGCUUAGAUAUCACGAAGAACUCCUAUUGCGAAGGCAGCUCACUGGACUGCAACUGACACUGAGGCUCGAAAGUGUGGGUAUCAAACAGGAUUAGAUACCCCGGUAGUC
This 460-nucleotide ribosomal RNA is filed under the name uncultured bacterium. RNAcentral describes it as "partial 16S ribosomal RNA". It matches the Rfam family "Bacterial small subunit ribosomal RNA", at positions 338 to 795 of the family's 1533-position model. The record is from RNAcentral.